UAAACUAUGCUGCAAUGAAGGCCUGGUUUUCCAUGAAUGAUUUAAGAGGAGUGACUGUUGAGGUUCAAAAGUUUGAAGACUUUAAGUGGCUGAAUGCUUCUUAUGUUCCAGUUCUUAAACAGCUCCAGGACUCAGAAACUCAAAACUAUUACUUUUCAGGCCACAAUGAUGAUGGUGGGACUCCAAUCAAGUUCCGGAACCCAAAAUAUUUGUCUAUGCUAAAUCACCUCAGAUUUUAUAUUCCGGAAGUUUUUCCUGCAUUGAAGAAGGUGAUAUUUCUUGAUGAUGAUGUAGUGGUUCAGAAGGAUCUUUCUGCUCUAUUUUCUAUUGAUUUGAAUGGCAAUGUCAAUGGAGCAGUAGAGACAUGCAUGGAGACAUUUCACCGGUAUCAUAAGUACCUGAACUACUCUCACCCACUCAUUCGAGAGCAUUUUGAUCCGGAUGCUUGCGGUUGGGCAUUUGGGAUGAAUGUUUUUGAUUUGGUCGAGUGGAGGAAAAGAAAUGUGACCAACAUUUACCAUUACUGGCAGG
Molecule: unclassified non-coding RNA, 531 nt
Filed under: Hevea brasiliensis (rubber tree)
Lineage: Eukaryota; Viridiplantae; Streptophyta; Magnoliopsida; Malpighiales; Euphorbiaceae
Source: RNAcentral